This 76-nucleotide transfer RNA is filed under the name Lachnospiraceae bacterium. RNAcentral's name for it is "tRNA-Val". It matches the Rfam family "tRNA". From Rfam's summary of the family: Transfer RNA (tRNA) molecules are approximately 80 nucleotides in length. Their secondary structure includes four short double-helical elements and three loops (D, anti-codon, and T loops). Lineage: Bacteria; Bacillati; Bacillota; Clostridia; Lachnospirales; Lachnospiraceae. The record is from RNAcentral.
GGAAUCUUAGCUCAGCUGGGAGAGCAUCUGCCUUACAAGCAGAGGGUCAUAGGUUCGAGCCCUAUAGGUUCCACUA